UGGGGAAUAUUGGACAAUGGGCGAAAGCCUGAUCCAGCCAUGCCGCGUGUGUGAAGAAGGUCUUCGGAUUGUAAAGCACUUUAAGUUGGGAGGAAGGGCAGUAAGCUAAUACCUUGCUGUUUUGACGUUACCGACAGAAUAAGCACCGGCUAACUCUGUGCCAGCAGCCGCGGUAAUACAGAGGGUGCAAGCGUUAAUCGGAAUUACUGGGCGUAAAGCGCGCGUAGGUGGUUUUUUAAGUUGGAUGUGAAAGCCCCGGGCUCAACCUGGGAACUGCAUCCAAAACUGGCAAGCUAGAGUACGGUAGAGGGUGGUGGAAUUUCCUG
RNAcentral lists this ribosomal RNA (326 nucleotides) under uncultured bacterium. RNAcentral describes it as "partial 16S ribosomal RNA". It matches the Rfam family "Bacterial small subunit ribosomal RNA", at positions 355 to 673 of the family's 1533-position model. The record is from RNAcentral.